AGUGGCGCACGGGUGCGUAACGCGUAUGCAACCUACCUUCGACUGGGGGAUAGCCCGGAGAAAUCCGGAUUAAUACCGCAUAACACCAUAUGAGGGCAUCCGAGUAUGGUUAAAGAUUCAUCGGUCGGAGAUGGGCAUGCGUGCCAUUAGCUAGUCGGCGGGGUAACGGCCCACCGAGGCUACGAUGGCUAGGGGUUCUGAGAGGACGGUCCCCCACACUGGCACUGAGAUACGGGCCAGACUCCUACGGGAGGCAGCAGUAGGGAAUAUUGGGCAAUGGGCGGAAGCCUGACCCAGCCAUGCCGCGUGCAGGACGAAGGCCUUCUGGGUUGUAAACUGCUUUUACAGGGGAAGAAAACACCCAUGCGUGGGGAACUGACGGUACCCUGGGAAUAAGCACCGGCUAACUCCGUGCCAGCAGCCGCGGUAAUACGGAGGGUGCAAGCGUUGUCCGGAUUUAUUGGGUUUAAAGGGUGCGUAGGCGGCCCGUUAAGUCAGCGGUGAAAGCCCGGGGCUCAACCCCGGAACCGCCGUUGAUACUGGCGGGCUUGAGUAUGGACGAGGUUGGCGGAAUUGAGGGUGUAGCGGUGAAAUGCUUAGAUACCCUCAAGAACACCGAUUGCGUAGGCAGCUAACUAGGCCAUAACUGACGCUGAGGCACGAAAGCGUGGGGAGCGAACAGGAUUAGAUACCCUGGUAGUCCACGCCGUAAACGAUGAUUACUCGAUGUCGGCGACAGACCGUCGGCGUCUUAGCG
RNAcentral lists this ribosomal RNA (757 nucleotides) under Flexibacteraceae bacterium MJ232. Its description in RNAcentral is "bacterial SSU rRNA". It matches the Rfam family "Bacterial small subunit ribosomal RNA", at positions 94 to 853 of the family's 1533-position model. The record is from RNAcentral. Lineage: Bacteria; Pseudomonadati; Bacteroidota; Cytophagia; Cytophagales; Cytophagaceae.